This is a non-coding RNA of Capsicum annuum, 106 nucleotides long. The record is from Rfam. NCBI's taxonomy places the organism in Eukaryota, Viridiplantae, Streptophyta, Magnoliopsida, Solanales, Solanaceae.
AACUCAUGAUUUGGGCAUUAGUCUAAUUUUCUUUUAAACCUUUCCCAAGCUUCAAAGAAUGUAGCUCUAUUCAUUUACCAAAAAUUCACAAUCUUAUCCUGCUUUU